ACGUUACCCGCAGAAGAAGCACCGGCUAACUCCGUGCCAGCAGCCGCGGUAAUACGGAGGGUGCAAGCGUUAAUCGGAAUUACUGGGCGUAAAGCGCACGCAGGCGGUCUGUCAAGUCGGAUGUGAAAUCCCCGGGCUCAACCUGGGAACUGCAUUCGAAACUGGCAGGCUUGAGUCUUGUAGAGGGGGGUAGAAUUCCAGGUGUAGCGGUGAAAUGCGUAGAGAUCUGGAGGAAUACCGGUGGCGAAGGCGGCCCCCUGGACAAAGACUGACGCUCAGGUGCGAAAGCGUGGGGAGCAAACAGG
This 305-nucleotide ribosomal RNA is filed under the name Salmonella enterica subsp. enterica serovar Virchow. RNAcentral's name for it is "bacterial SSU rRNA". It matches the Rfam family "Bacterial small subunit ribosomal RNA", at positions 472 to 776 of the family's 1533-position model. RNAcentral also lists the same sequence under 1 other name. The record is from RNAcentral. Lineage: Bacteria; Pseudomonadati; Pseudomonadota; Gammaproteobacteria; Enterobacterales; Enterobacteriaceae.